AUCCAGCUGACGAGUCCCAAAUGGAAUGAGAUGCUCAUUCUGGAU
This 45-nucleotide non-coding RNA is filed under the name Schistosoma margrebowiei. Lineage: Eukaryota; Metazoa; Platyhelminthes; Trematoda; Strigeidida; Schistosomatidae. The record is from RNAcentral.